UUUAUUGGAGAGUUUGAUCCUGGCUCAGGAUGAACGCUGGCGGCGUGCCUAAUACAUGCAAGUCGAGCGAACGGAUUAAGAGCUUGCUCUUAUGAAGUUAGCGGCGGACGGGUGAGUAACACGUGGGUAACCUGCCCAUAAGACUGGGAUAACUCCGGGAAACCGGGGCUAAUACCGGAUAAUAUUUUGAACUGCAUAGUUCGAAAUUGAAAGGCGGCUUCGGCUGUCACUUAUGGAUGGACCCGCGUCGCAUUAGCUAGUUGGUGAGGUAACGGCUCACCAAGGCAACGAUGCGUAGCCGACCUGAGAGGGUGAUCGGCCACACUGGGACUGAGACACGGCCCAGACUCCUACGGGAGGCAGCAGUAGGGAAUCUUCCGCAAUGGACGAAAGUCUGACGGAGCAACGCCGCGUGAGUGAUGAAGGCUUUCGGGUCGUAAAACUCUGUUGUU
Molecule: ribosomal RNA, 452 nt
Filed under: Bacillus cereus
Lineage: Bacteria; Bacillati; Bacillota; Bacilli; Caryophanales; Bacillaceae
Description: bacterial SSU rRNA
Rfam family: Bacterial small subunit ribosomal RNA
Source: RNAcentral